CAAAACUACGGUCUCAGUUCAGAUUGCAGGCUGCAACUCGCCUGCAUGAAGUUGGAAUUGCUAGUAAUCGCGAAUCAGAAUGUCGCGGUGAAUACGUUCCCGGGCCUUGUACACACCGCCCGUCACACCAUGAGAGUCGAUAACACCCGAAGCCUGUGAGCUAACCGUAAGGAGGCAGCAGUCGAAGGUGGGGUUGAUGAUUGGGGUGAAGUCGUAACAAGGUACC
This 226-nucleotide ribosomal RNA is filed under the name uncultured bacterium. Its description in RNAcentral is "partial 16S ribosomal RNA". It matches the Rfam family "Bacterial small subunit ribosomal RNA", at positions 1275 to 1500 of the family's 1533-position model. The record is from RNAcentral.